Molecule: ribosomal RNA, 406 nt
Filed under: uncultured bacterium
Lineage: Bacteria
Description: partial 16S ribosomal RNA
Rfam family: Bacterial small subunit ribosomal RNA
Source: RNAcentral
AUUGAACGCUGGCGGCAAGCCUAACACAUGCAAGUCGAACGAGUGGCGGACGGGUGAGUAAUGUCUGGGAAACUGCCUGAUGGAGGGGGAUAACUACUGGAAACGGUAGCUAAUACCGCAUACCAUCGGAUGUGCCCAGAUGGGAUUAGCUAGUAGGUGGGGUAAAGGCUCACCUAGGCAACGAUCCCUAGCUGGUCUGAGAGGAUGACCAGCCACACUGGAGCUGCGACACGGUCCAGACUCCUACGGAAGGGAGGAGUAGGGAAUUUUGCACAAUGAGCGCAAGCCUGAUGCAGCCAUGCCGCGUGUAUGGAGAAGGCAUUCGGGUUGAAAAGUACUUUCGACGGGGAGGCAUUACCCGCAGAAGAGGCACCGGCUAACUCCGUGCCAGCAGCCGCGGUGAUAC